AUGGAGGGGCCUGCCAGACAAGGACAAAAGCCAGUGAAAAGGAUUAUCAUCUACCUCUCCUCAAGUGGUCACAGCUCCACCCAUCACAGCCAGCUAGUAUUUGGUCCAGCCCAGCUGCCAGAGAACAGGGACAGGUGCUGGCCCCACAGGUUUUGGUUUGCGUCUCAGUCACUGUGGUAUGUUUUCGGCGGAGGAACCAAGCUCACCGUCCUAGGUCAGCCAAAGUCUACUCCCACAGUCACAUGUUUCCACCUUCCUCUGAGGAGCUCAAGACAAACCAAGCCACAGUGGUGUGUAUGAUUAACGACUUCUACCCGGGCAGUGCAACAGUGACCUGGAAGGCAAAUGGUGUACCUAUCACCCAAGGUGUGCACACUACAAACCCCUCCAAACACAACAACAAGUACAUGGCCAACAGCUUCCUCACUUUGACAGCGGACCAGUGGAGAUCUCACAAUAGCUUGUCCUGCCAAGUUACACAUGAAGGGAAUGUGUAG
This is a non-coding RNA of Peromyscus leucopus (white-footed mouse), 497 nucleotides long. NCBI's taxonomy places the organism in Eukaryota, Metazoa, Chordata, Mammalia, Rodentia, Cricetidae. The record is from the annotation of a RefSeq genome assembly.